AAGUCGAACGGCAGCACGGGGGCAACCCUGGUGGCGAGUGGCGAACGGGUGAGUAACACAUCGGAACGUGCCCAAUCGUGGGGGAUAACGUAGCGAAAGCUACGCUAAUACCGCAUACGAUCUACGGAUGAAAGCGGGGGAUCGCAAGACCUCGCGCGAAUGGAGCGGCCGAUGGCAGAUUAGGUAGUUGGUGGGGUAAAGGCUCACCAAGCCAACGAUCUGUAGCUGGUCUGAGAGGACGACCAGCCACACUGGGACUGAGACACGGCCCAGACUCCUACGGGAGGCAGCAGUGGGGAAUUUUGGACAAUGGGCGCAAGCCUGAUCCAGCCAUUCCGCGUGCAGGAUGAAGGCCUUCGGGUUGUAAACUGCUUUUGGACGGAACGAAAAGCCAUUUUCUAAUACAAGAUGGUCAUGACGGUACCGUCAGAAUAAGCACCGGCUAACUACGUGCCAGCAGCCGCGGUAAUACGUAGGGUGCAAGCGUUAAUCGGAAUUACUGGGCGUAAAGCGUGCGCAGGCGGUUAUGUAAGACAGUUGU
RNAcentral lists this ribosomal RNA (541 nucleotides) under bacterium enrichment culture. Its description in RNAcentral is "bacterial SSU rRNA". It matches the Rfam family "Bacterial small subunit ribosomal RNA", at positions 59 to 595 of the family's 1533-position model. The record is from RNAcentral.